Molecule: ribosomal RNA, 427 nt
Filed under: uncultured Methylococcaceae bacterium
Lineage: Bacteria; Pseudomonadati; Pseudomonadota; Gammaproteobacteria; Methylococcales; Methylococcaceae
Description: partial 16S ribosomal RNA
Rfam family: Bacterial small subunit ribosomal RNA
Source: RNAcentral
UGGGGAAUAUUGGACAAUGGGCGCAAGCCUGAUCCAGCAAUGCCGCGUGUGUGAAGAAGGCCUGCGGGUUGUAAAGCACUUUAAGCCGGAAAGAAGGCUUCAAGGUGAAUAGCCUUGGGGAUUGACGUUACCGGCAGAAUAAGCACCGGCUAACUCCGUGCCAGCAGCCGCGGUAAUACGGAGGGUGCGAGCGUUAAUCGGAAUGACUGGGCGUAAAGCGCGCGUAGGCGGUUUGAUGAGUCCGAUGUGAAAGCCCUGGGCUUAACCUGGGAACGGCAUGGGAUACUGUUGAGCUAGAGUGUGGGAGAGGGGUGUGGAAUUUCCGGUGUAGCAGUGAAAUGCGUAGAGAUCGGAAGGAACACCAGUGGCGAAGGCGGCACCCUGGACCAACACUGACGCUGAGGUGCGAAAGCGUGGGGAGCAAACA